UUAGCAAUAAGGAUGCAUAUGAACCACCACUCAGGGACCUGUUUAUAUCUCCUCAUAAGUUUCGUGUGUAUGUCCAUCCUUUUUUCUUGAAAAGCUGAUUUACUUAAUAGCCAAAUUUCACUGGAGACAAGUAUCAUGGUUCUUAACCACAUUAUUUUAAUAUUGUAGACAGUGGAGUGGCGAAUCUAAGAAAAAAAAAUACCUUCCAUGGAAGAGGAGAGCAUGAACAAUUGUUGCAGCAAGGGUUGCAAAACCAACACCGUAUGUGACAAGAAGGGAAGUACUGAGGUAUAGUGGCCCAUUCUUCUCAUAGGCCUUGGUGUCAAAAUGGAAAUGGGAGUCAACAAUGCUUGAUACAUUGUAUUUUUGCCCAGUCGAGGUGAAGAGGCCAUCAGAAAAUAUGGGGAAAUUUUGUGCCUUGUAGAAAUUAAACCAGUAUGCAAUUGGUGUGAUUAUGUACAUGACGAUGAAGAAGCCAACACCAACAUUUACAGUGGCAAACCAUGGGCUAGCAAGAGGGCUCCCAAGGUAGGAGGAGAUAGAUGACCAGUCGAGACCGAUUGCACCAACGCCGAGGCCUCGGAGACCUGAACCAAGCUGUUGGGCAAGGACAGAGCUGGGGAAGACCCAGCAGAUCCAGGAGAGGGAG
This 649-nucleotide long non-coding RNA is filed under the name Oryza sativa (Asian cultivated rice). RNAcentral describes it as "long non-coding RNA (OSAT_LNC001072)". The record is from RNAcentral. Lineage: Eukaryota; Viridiplantae; Streptophyta; Magnoliopsida; Poales; Poaceae.